AUUGAACGCUGGCGGCAGGCUUAACACAUGCAAGUCGAGCGGGGGAAGGUAGCUUGCUACCGGACCUAGCGGCGGACGGGUGAGUAAUGCUUAGGAAUCUGCCUAUUAGUGGGGGACAACAUCUCGAAAGGGAUGCUAAUACCGCAUACGUCCUACGGGAGAAAGCAGGGGAUCUUCGGACAUUGCGCUAAUAGAUGAGCCUAAGUCGGAUCAGCUAGUUGGUGGGGUAAAGGCCUACCAAGGCGACGAUCUGUAGCGGGUCUGAGAGGAUGAGCCGCCACACUGGGACUGAGACACGGCCCAGACUCCUACGGGAGGCAGCAGUGGGGAAUAUUGGACAAUGGGGGGAACCCUGAUCCAGCCAUGCCGCGUGUGUGAAGAAGGCCUUAUGGUUGUAAAGCACUUUAAGCGAGGAGGAGGCUACUUUAGUUAAUACCUAGAGAUAGUGGACGUUACUCGCAGAAUAAGCACCGGCUAACUCUGUGCCAGCCGCCGCAGUAA
Molecule: ribosomal RNA, 501 nt
Filed under: uncultured bacterium
Lineage: Bacteria
Description: partial 16S ribosomal RNA
Rfam family: Bacterial small subunit ribosomal RNA
Source: RNAcentral